ACUCUGACCCAGCCAUGCCGCGUGCAGGAAGACUGCCCUAUGGGUUGUAAACUGCUUUUAUACAGGAAGAAACACACCUACGUGUAGGUGCUUGACGGUACUGUAAGAAUAAGCACCGGCUAACUCCGUGCCAGCAGCCGCGGUAAUACGGAGGGUGCAAGCGUUAUCCGGAAUCAUUGGGUUUAAAGGGUCCGCAGGCGGUCAAUUAAGUCAGAGGUGAAAUCCCAUAGCUUAACUAUGGAACUGCCUUUGAUACUGGUUGACUUGAGUUAUACGGAAGUAGAUAGAAUAAGUAGUGUAGCGGUGAAAUGCAUAGAUAUUACUUAGAAUACCGAUUGCGAAGGCAGUCUACUACGUAUAUACUGACGCUCAUG
Molecule: ribosomal RNA, 374 nt
Filed under: uncultured Bacteroidota bacterium
Lineage: Bacteria; Pseudomonadati; Bacteroidota
Description: bacterial SSU rRNA
Rfam family: Bacterial small subunit ribosomal RNA
Source: RNAcentral